CUGUGGUUACCAGCCACUCCCUGUUGGCUUGUGGGUGACCUUGGGCCUAGUAUGACUCUCCCCGGGCCCCGCCUCUUCCCAGGAGGAUAGAAGAGGAGACAGUUGGCAUCCGUGUUGGUUGUCUGGGAAGACAACCAGACACAUGGAUCAAGAAGUCAGGGUGUCCGAGGGGUACAGAGAGCUCCAUCAAGAUCAGAACAGAACUGGGAAGCCAGGCACAUGGAGCCCAGCGCACAUGGAGACUGAAAAUCUGGCCUUUGCCCCCACUGAAACCAGCAUCAAGAAGGGCCCCAGGAGUCAGUGACCUCGUGCCAAGGAUCUUGAUACCACCCAAGGGCUAUAUCCCUAUGGCUGCUCACCCUAGAUGGACAAGGAUUACAGCACCUGCAGGGCCAAACAGCACACCACACAUCUGCUAGAAACCAACCCACACCCUCGCGAGACCGCACAGCAGCCUGGCAGGGUCCUCAGUUUCCCGAACGAUCCCAAGACUCAGGGGCCUCCCACCUCCCAUCUGAGCUCAGAUGACCCAGGUAAAUGGGGCCCAGAACGGUCCCGCAGCCCCUCACUAAGUCCGCCUGGGGCCGCUGGCCUCUGGUUCCCACAGCUUUUCAGUUUCGGUUCUCCAAACUGCCCUCAUUUCCUCACCUGUCGUGACAAGGCUGGCGCGGUCCUCUGUCUCUCCGCU
Molecule: long non-coding RNA, 688 nt
Organism: Mus musculus (house mouse)
Lineage: Eukaryota; Metazoa; Chordata; Mammalia; Rodentia; Muridae
Product: predicted gene, 52196
Exons: 3
Source: RefSeq, a predicted model, not a curated record